UGGUGGAGUGAUUUGUCUGGUUAAUUCCGUUAACGAACGAGACCUCAGCCUGCUAAAUAGUACUCGUUAUCGUCUGAUAGCGUGAGACUUCUUAGAGGGACAAUUCGGGUUCACCGGAUGGAAGUUUGAGGCAAUAACA
RNAcentral lists this ribosomal RNA (139 nucleotides) under uncultured eukaryote. RNAcentral describes it as "partial 18S ribosomal RNA". It matches the Rfam family "Eukaryotic small subunit ribosomal RNA", at positions 1299 to 1458 of the family's 1831-position model. The record is from RNAcentral.